Molecule: transfer RNA, 65 nt
Filed under: Aleochara sp. 2 EF-2015
Lineage: Eukaryota; Metazoa; Arthropoda; Insecta; Coleoptera; Staphylinidae
Description: tRNA-Leu
Source: RNAcentral
UCUAAUGUGGCAGACUAGUGCCAUGGAUUUAAACCCCAUUUAUAAAGAAAUUUCUUUUGUUAGAA